UGAGUAUUACAUCAGGUACUGGU
This 23-nucleotide microRNA is filed under the name Daphnia pulex (common water flea). RNAcentral's name for it is "dpu-miR-12". Its record names the gene dpu-miR-12. Lineage: Eukaryota; Metazoa; Arthropoda; Branchiopoda; Diplostraca; Daphniidae. RNAcentral also lists the same sequence under 28 other names. The record is from miRBase by way of RNAcentral.